RNAcentral lists this ribosomal RNA (433 nucleotides) under uncultured bacterium. Its description in RNAcentral is "bacterial SSU rRNA". It matches the Rfam family "Bacterial small subunit ribosomal RNA", at positions 355 to 786 of the family's 1533-position model. The record is from RNAcentral.
UGAGGAAUAUUGGUCGAUGGGCGGGAGCCUGAACCAGCCAAGCCGCGUGAGGGAAGAAGGCGCUCAGCGUCGUAAACCUCUUAGCCGGGGAACAAAGAGCUUCUCGUGAAGGAGCGUUGAGCGUACCCGGAGAAUAAGCAUCGGCUAACUCCGUGCCAGCAGCCGCGGUAAUACGGAGGAUGCGAGCGUUAUCCGGAUUUAUUGGGUUUAAAGGGUGCGCAGGCGGACGCGCAAGUCUGCGGUCAAAUUCCGGGGCUCAACCCCGGACCGCCGUGGAAACUGUGCGACUAGAGUGGGCGAGAGGCAUGCGGAAUGCGCGGUGUAGCGGUGAAAUGCUUAGAGAUCGCGCAGAACUCCGAUUGCGAAGGCAGCAUGCCGGCGCCUUACUGACGCUCAUGCACGAAAGCGUGGGGAUCGAACAGGAUUAGAUACC